GGCAGUCAGAGGCGAUGAAGGGCGUACUAAUCUGCGAUAAGCGCCGGUAAGGUGAUAUGAACCGUUAUAACCGGCGAUACCCGAAUGGGGAAACCCAGUGUGAUUCGUCACACUAUCAUUAACUGAAUCCAUAGGUUAAUGAGGCGAACCGGGGGAACUGAAACAUCUAAGUACCCCGAGGAAAAGAAAUCAACCGAGAUUCCCCCAGUAGCGGCGAGCGAACGGGGAGGAGCCCAGAGCCUGAAUCAGCAUGUGUGUUAGUGGAAGCGUCUGGAAAGGCGCGCGAUACAGGGUGACAGCCCCGUACACAAAAGCGCAUGUGCUGUGAGCUCGAUGAGUAGGGCGGGACACGUGGUAUCCUGUCUGAAUAUGGGGGGACCAUCCUCCAAGGCUAAAUACUCCUGACUGACCGAUAGUGAACCAGUACCGUGAGGGAAAGGCGAAAAGAACCCCGGCGAGGGGAGUGAAAAAGAACCUGAAACCGUGUACGUACAAGCAGUGGGAGCACCCUUUGGGUGUGACUGCGUACCUUUUGUAUAAUGGGUCAGCGACUUAUAUUCUGUAGCAAGGUUAACCGAAUAGGGGAGCCGGAGGGAAACCGAGUCUUAAUUGGGCGUUAAGUUGCAGGGUAUAGACCCGAAACCCGGUGAUCUAGCCAUGGGCAGGUUGAAGGUUGGGUAACACUAACUGGAGGACCGAACCGACUAAUGUUGAAAAAUUAGCGGAUGACCUGUGGCUGGGGGUGAAAGGCCAAUCAAACCGGGAGAUAGCUGGUUCUCCCCGAAAGCUAUUUAGGUAGCGCCUCGUGAAUUCAUCUCCGGGGGUAGAGCACUGUUUCGGCUAGGGGGCCAUCCCGGCUUACCAACCCGAUGCAAACUGCGAAUACCGGAGAAUGUUAUCACGGGAGACACACGGCGGGUGCUAACGUCCGUCGUGAAGAGGGAAACAACCCAGACCGCCAGCUAAGGUCCCAAAGUCAUGGUUAAGUGGGAAACGAUGUGGGAAGGCCCAGACAGCCAGGAUGUUGGCUUAGAAGCAGCCAUCAUUUAAAGAAAGCGUAAUAGCUCACUGGUCGAGUCGGCCUGCGCGGAAGAUGUAACGGGGCUAAACCAUG
RNAcentral lists this ribosomal RNA (1114 nucleotides) under Salmonella enterica subsp. enterica serovar Enteritidis. Its description in RNAcentral is "partial 23S ribosomal RNA". It matches the Rfam family "Bacterial large subunit ribosomal RNA", at positions 35 to 1191 of the family's 2925-position model. The record is from RNAcentral. Lineage: Bacteria; Pseudomonadati; Pseudomonadota; Gammaproteobacteria; Enterobacterales; Enterobacteriaceae.